GACGAACGCUGGCGUCGUGCUUAACACAUGCAAGUCGAACGAGACGAUUGAAAGCUUUCUUUCGAAAGUCGAGUGGCAAACGGGUGAGUAACGCGUAGACAACCUGCCUUUGAGAUGAGGACAACAGUACGAAAGGACUGCUACUACCGAAUGUUGUAUAUUUUCCACAGUGAAGAGAUAUUAACGAUUGCCGCUAUUUAUAAGCUAUCGCACAAAGAUGUGUCGGCGUCUGAUUAGCUUGUUGGUGGGGUAAUGGCCUACCAAGGCGACGAUCAGUAGCCGGUCUUAGAGGAUGAACGGCCACAUUGGGACUGAGACACGGCCCAGACUCCUACGGGAGGCAGCAGUGGGGAAUCUUCCACAAUGGACGAAAGUCUGAUGGAGCAACGCCGCGUGAGUGAAGAAGGGUUUCGGAUCGUAAAGCUCUGUUGUCGGGGACGAAUGUGCAGUAUUUGAAUAAAGUACUGCAAUGACGGUACCUGACGAGGAAGCCACGGCUAACUACGUGCCAGCAGCCGCAGUAA
This 524-nucleotide ribosomal RNA is filed under the name uncultured bacterium. RNAcentral describes it as "partial 16S ribosomal RNA". It matches the Rfam family "Bacterial small subunit ribosomal RNA", at positions 28 to 523 of the family's 1533-position model. The record is from RNAcentral.